AUUAGGAAGAAUUGAAAGACAAACUUACUCAUUUGUUCUUAGACUUCACAAUAGACUUUAGAAUUUUUUUAUCUUUUCUUUAUUUUUUAUAAACGAUUUUUGGGAAGGAAAAUAAAGAUAGUAUCAGUACAUUUACUAAACAGGACCUUGAAUUAGGGCUUGUAGAACUCAAGUUCAUGGGUGAAGAACAAAAUUACCCAGAGGCAAAGAACAUCUUGAGAGGUCAUUGGACCCAUCUUUAUGGAUAAUAUAAGCCAGAAAAAAAGGGGCUUACAGUUUGCCACAGAUCAUGGAGGAGACUUGGGACUUGGAUUUUUCAGCAAUGUUGAAGCUGUUAGGACUUUGGCAACUCUUGGAGGUGGACUAAAUGUCUUUUGUAUAAAGGAUGUACAUGAGUCCUGGGGGCCAGGGGUGGAAUGUCAUGGUUUAUGUCUGUGUCCCCCAGGCCUCAUGAGUUUGCAUUGUUCAUAUGUGAUGGUUCAUUGUAUAGUGCUUGGAUUGAUGGUGUCAGUGCUCCACCCACAUAGGGGUGGAGCCAGGAUGUGAUGUAAUGGCAGGAAGAAGGUGUAUCUUUCUCUUUGCUGGUUUCUGUUUGCUGUUUGCAGCCGCCAUGAACGGCGGUCCAGCCAUGCCCACCUGUCUUGGAGCCAACUGAGUGUGGACUGAAACCUCCAAAAACUGUAAGAAAUAAACCUUUCCUUUCCCAACUUGAGCAUCAGGUAUUUUGUCUCAGCGAUGAGCAUAAAGUGACUAAGACACAUCCUUUUUAAUUUUUGUUUUCAUUCGAAGGGAUUUUAUGUUGAUGUAAAGCUAAACAAUAGAUUCAGCAAGAACAAAGUUCACAGUACAAUAGUGCUCCAAAAUGUAUAUCAGUUCAAAAGAAAACAGGGCUGCUCAAAACAUAGAAUCUUUUUUUUGUUGUUAAAGCCAAAUUUAACUCAGAGAAGACAAUUCUGAACAUAUCAGGUGUUCUAUAGCUUCUUGCUUUGAGUUAAUCAGAAUCCAUAAAUGUUUCUUACAGGAGUUCCAGCACACUGGCUUGAGCCUGGGGAGAGUUUAAGAUCAUUGCUCCCAGCGGUUAAGGACCCACCCAGUGUCCAGCCACACUAGACUGGGCUUUGCAGGUUUCAUGGACCUAGCUGGGCUACGCACAGAGACCUUCUUUCAAUCUGGGGAAACAAUCAGCUACACAAAGCAAGUAUUAACAGAAAUGAAAAAUCAAAUAAGCAAUAACACAAUUAAACAAGAGACCUUAAUACAUUAUUGACACCAAGGGACAGAAAAUCAGUAAAGAAAUAACAGAACUGAAUCCCACAUGUGAACAAAUGGACUUGACAGAUAUAUACAGUGUUCCAUCCAACAACAUCAGAACAUACAUUCUUCUCAGUGGUACAUGGGACAGUUUUUAAAAUAGACCAUAUACUAGCCCACAGAACAUAUUUAAGUAAAUGCAAAAGAGUUGAAAUUAUCCCAUGCAUGUUAUCAGAUCAUAGUGCCAUUAAACUAGAAAUCAAUGAUAAAAGAAACUGCAAAAACACCACAAAUACAUGGAAAUUGAAUAAUAUACUCCUAACUAGUCAGUGGGUCAUAGAGGAAAUUAAAGAAGAAAUGAAACAAUACUGAUAAGCAAACAAAAAUACAAAUACAACUUCCCAGAAUCUGUGGGAUGCAAUGAAAGUGGUCCAUAGAGGAACAUUUACUGCACUGAGUUCCCAUAUCAUGAAAACAAAUAAACAACCUGAUGCUACACCUUAAACAUCUAGGAAAAGAAGAGCAAGUCAAGCCCAAAGCCAAAAGAAGGAAGGAAAUUAUAAAAAUCAGAGCAGAAAUUAACACAAUAGAGACUAAGAAAAUAAUCCAAAGAAUCAACGAAUCGAAGAGUUGGCUCUUUGAAAGAAUAAAUAAAAUUGAUAAGCCCCUAGCUAACCUUAUUUAAACAAGGAAAUAAAAAGCUCAAAUUCAUGCAAUAAGGAAUGAAAAAGGUGAAAUCACUACAGACUGUGGAAAUACAGAAGAUCAUCAAUACCUAUUUCAAAAACCUCUACUCUCAUAGGUUCCAUAACACAGAAGAAAUGGACAGAAUUCUAGAAACAUAUGUGAAGUACCAAAGCUUGGUCAAGAAGAUGUAAAACUGCUGAAUAACCCAAUUUCUAUUAAUGAAUUAAGUCCUUACCUACAAAGAAGAGCUCAGGCUCAGAUGGAUUCACUGUGGAAUUCUACAAGACAUACAAAGAAGACUUAAUGUUGACACUCCUCAAACUCUUCAAUGAAAUUGAAAGGGAAGCAAUUCUUCCUAAGUCAUUCCUGGAAGAAAAUAUUACUCUAGUACCAAAACCUGAGAAAGACCCAGCUAAAAAAGAGAACUACAGGACAAUCUCACUAAUGAACAUAGAUGCAAAAAUGCUCAAUAAAAUAUUGGCAAACAGGAUGCAGCAAAUCAUCAAGAAGAUUAUACACCAUGACCAAGUAGGAUUAAUCCCGGGCAUGUAGGGAUGGUUCAACAUACAGAAAUCAAUAAAUGUAAUCCACCAUAUCAGCCAAAAGUAAGAAUCACAAAAUCAUUUCUAUAGAUGCAGAAAAAGCUUUAGAUAAGAUCCAACAUUCAUUCAUGAUAAGAACCUUACAGAAAAUUAGAAUAGAUGGUCUUUACUUCAAUAUGAUAAAGGCCAUCUAUGACAAAUCAAUAGCCAACAUCAUAUUAAAUGGCCAGAAACUGAAAGCCUUUACCCUAAAAUCAGGAUGUCACUUAUCACCACUCUUAUUGAACAUAGUACUGGAAAUACUAGCUGGAGCAAUUAGACAAGAGAAAGAAAUAAAAGGAGCAAAGAUAGGAAAAGAGGAAGUUAAAUUAUCAUUAUUUGCAGACAACAUGAUACUCUAUAUAGAAGACCCUCAAAACUCCAUUGAAAGACUGUCAUAGUUUAUGUCUGUGUCCCCCAGGCCUCAUGAGUUUAAAAUGUCCAUUUGUUAUUUGUUCAUUGUCUAGUGCUUGGAUUGAUGGUGUCAGUGUUCCACCCACCUAGGGGUGGAGCCAGGAUGCGAUGUAAUGGCAGGAAGAAGGUGUGUCUUGCCUUUUGCUGGUUCCUGUUUGCUGUUUGCAGCCGCCAUGAAUGGCGGUCCAGCCAUGCCUGACUGCCUUGGAGCCAACUGAGUGUGGACUGAAACUUCCAAAAACUGUAAGAAAUAAACCUUUCCUUUCCCAACUUGGGCUUCAGGUAUUUUGUCCCAGCAACAAGUAAAAAGUAACUAAGACAGAAUUCUAGAUAAAAUAAAUAAAUUCAGCAAUGUAGCUGGAUACAAAGUCAAUUCUCAAAGAUCAGUGGUAUUCCUAUACAAUAACAACAAUAUCACUGAGAGAUAAAUAAGAGAAACUGCAUCCUUCACACUAGCAUCCAAAAAAAAUGAAAUACUUAGGAAUUAAUCUUACAAAAGAAGUAAAAGAUCUAUACAUGGACUAUUAUAAUAUCCUGAAAAAAAUUGAAGAAGAUCUCAGAAAAUGGAAGGACAUCCCUUGUUCAUGGAUAGGAAGAAUAAAUAUUGUGAAAAUGGCCAUUCUCCCAAGACUCAUAUACAGAUUCAACGCAAUCCCUAUGAAAAUACCAUCAACAUACCUUAUAGAUCUAGAGAAAUCACUCCUAAAAUUCAUCUGGAACCAGAAGAGAUCUAGAAUAGCAAAGGCAAUUCUAAACAGCAAAGGCAAGGCAGGAGGCAUCACAAUCACUAACUUGAAAUUAUACUACAAAGCUACUGUAAUACAAUCAACAUGGUACUGAAAUAAAAACAUCUGAAGAUCAAUGGAAGAGAUUAGAAGAUACAACUACAAAUACACUCAACCACCUUAUCUUUGAUAAAGGGGCCAAACAUGUUCACUGUAAGAACGACAGUCUCUUUAAUAAAUAGUGCUGGAAAAACUGGCUCUCCAUAUGCCAAAAACUAACACUAGACCCACGCCUAUCACCAUAUACUAAACUAAAAGUUUCUACAUGUCAAAAGAAAUCUCCAGCACAGUGAAAAGUAAACCCACAAACUGGCAAAAUAUCUUAGUGAACUGUCCCUCAGACAAAGGAGGGAUACAUGUUUAUAGAAGCACAAUUUGUAAUAGCCAGAUCUUGGAAAAACUUAAGUGUCCAUCAACUGAGGAAUGGAUAAAAAAAAGUUGUGGUAUUUUUAUACAAUGGAGUACUACUCAGCUAUAAAGAAUGAUCACAUGAGAUAUUUGUAAAUACAUGGACACACUUGAGACCAUACUCAUAAGUGAAAUAAAUCAAACCCACAUGUAUAAAUACCAUAUAUUCUCCCUAGUGUAAGAAAUGGUAAGAGUACCUACGAUUUUAUGGUAAUCAUUAUUCUCCAUUGCAUUGCUUUGAAGCCUUAUCAUGUUUUUAUUCAUUAGUUGGAAUGGUUUUAUUCUCUUUUAUUUGAUUUUCUUAUCUGUGAUAGUAUGAACAGAUAGUUUGAAGAAAACAAGACAUUAUGACAGCCAUUGUUGUUUUAAUAUCAUCUUGCUUUGAAGUCCUACCAUGCUUUUGUUCUUCUGUUUCCAUUGGUUCUAUCAUGUUGUAUCUUAUUGGAUUUUAAUAUGUGUGAUAAUAUAAACAAAUUUUUUAUGGAAAAUGAGAUAAUACAGUAGUCAUUGUUCGUUUUCUGCUAUUUGGUUCUUAGUGCCCUGUAAUACUUUCGUUCUCUUGAAUGGUUUUAUACUAUUUUGUUAUGUUUGAUACUGUGGUGUGUGAAGGUAUGCUCAACUAUUUCAAAGAAAGACACUAUGGUAGCUAAUAUUGGGUUGUCUUGUGGUGAAGUACUAUGUUACUUACAUUGCUCUGUUGUGAUCUGCAUUUUUCUGUCCUCUUUGGUCUUAAUCUCUUUAAAAUAAAAAAAAAUUUUAAAUUUCUUACAAA
Cavia porcellus (domestic guinea pig) is the source of this 4898-nucleotide long non-coding RNA. RefSeq lists it as uncharacterized. The transcript is spliced from 2 exons. The record is from RefSeq and is a predicted model, not a curated record. NCBI's taxonomy places the organism in Eukaryota, Metazoa, Chordata, Mammalia, Rodentia, Caviidae.